GUUCCCUCCUCCGAUUAGAAACUUGUAGGAACUAGGAAAACAUAUUUUCCUUUAAUAGAAACUGAUACGGUCAAUUGAAUAGGAAAACCUAAAUUGCUGCUGCGUCAAUUUCCAGUACCUCAUUGUGAUUUUUUUCCAGGAAAGUUCUCUUCUUCCCCUGUUAAAUUGGUUGCUUGCAAUCGUUUUGCAAUACAUUGUUGAUUGAUGUUGCUCGAUUUUUAUAUGGAUUGAACGAUAGGAAAACCUAGAUUGCUGCUGCGUCAAUUUCCCAGUACCUCGUCGUCGAUUCUUUUCCAGGAAAACCUAGAUUGCUGCUGCGUCAAUUUCCAGUACCUCGUCGUCGAUUCUUUUCCAGGUACACGUUUGAAUCUGCCCUGCUGUAACUUUAAGCUUGAAAUGGAAUACAAUUACUCACCUGUUUGAUCCUGAAAUAUGCUGCAUGGACUGUGAUGUGUUGGUAGUCAAAUGGGCAUUCGAUUUAAUCACAUAGCAUAGUGUAAAUCGAUUUAUAUGAGUGUAAACCCUGGACUGUUAACUGGACUGUAUAACUGGACUGUUCGUAUGGACUGUGCAAUGAGCUUUAAUUCUGAUUAUAGCAAUUCGCAUGUUAGAGUCUAAUGUCUACUUUCUGCGGUUAAUGACAUGAUUGGACUGUUUCGAUUUUUAUUUCAUGUCAAUAGGACUGCCUAUUGCAGUUGUUUGUAUGAACAAGUGUAGUAGAGUAAUGUAACAUACUAGCCUGAUAAGUUGAAGUCGGAAUAGAAUAAGGACUUGAACAUCUUAAGUUCGAUACCUCCAUAUUAUUAGUAAUCACCUUAGUCUAGUUAUCCCGUAUCUAUUUCUGA
Nicotiana attenuata is the source of this 845-nucleotide long non-coding RNA. RefSeq lists it as uncharacterized. The record is from RefSeq and is a predicted model, not a curated record. Lineage: Eukaryota; Viridiplantae; Streptophyta; Magnoliopsida; Solanales; Solanaceae. The transcript has 3 exons.